Pteropus alecto (black flying fox) is the source of this 150-nucleotide non-coding RNA. The record is from Rfam. NCBI's taxonomy places the organism in Eukaryota, Metazoa, Chordata, Mammalia, Chiroptera, Pteropodidae.
GGUUUAAGCCUCACCAAACUUGAAACAACUCCUAAAUAAAUUCUAUCUAAAAGAUUUCAGCGACCUCAUCUGACGUUGGAAGCUAAGAAGGGUUGGGCCUGGUUAGUACUUGGAUGGGAGACCACCUAGGAAGACCAGGUGCUGUAGGCG